AACGAACGCUGGCGGCAUGCCUAACACAUGCAAGUCGAACGAGACCUUCGGGUCUAGUGGCGCACGGGUGCGUAACGCGUGGGAACCUGCCCUUAGGUUCGGAAUAACUCCCCGAAAGGGGUGCUAAUACCGGAUAAUGUCUUCGGACCAAAAAUUUAUCGCCUUUGGAUGGGCCCGCGUUGGAUUAGCUAGUUGUUAGGGUAAAAGACUACCAAGGGCACGAUCCAUAGCUGGUCUGAGAGGAUGAUCAGCCACACUGGGACUGAGACACGGCCCAGACUCCUACGGGAGGCAGCAGUGGGGAAUAUUGGACAAUGGGCGAAAGCCUGAUCCAGCAAUGCCGCGUGAGUGAUGAAGGCCUUAGGGUUGUAAAGCUCUUUUACCCGGGAUGAUAAUGACAGUACCGGGAGAAUAAGCCCCGGCUAACUCCGUG
RNAcentral lists this ribosomal RNA (433 nucleotides) under uncultured bacterium. RNAcentral's name for it is "partial 16S ribosomal RNA". It matches the Rfam family "Bacterial small subunit ribosomal RNA", at positions 29 to 507 of the family's 1533-position model. The record is from RNAcentral.